ACAAAUCAGUAGGGCUUCGGCCCUAUAUACACCCUAGCUGGAAGGUGCCGCAGUAGCGGUGCGGACCGGCUUUGGUUGCAGCCUGGCUGCAGGCUGGCGUCGCAAGACAACGGCCACAUAGACGCUUGUAUGUUUGACAGAGUUUAGUUGACACUUUUAAAAUGA
RNAcentral lists this unclassified non-coding RNA (165 nucleotides) under uncultured Rozellomycota. RNAcentral's name for it is "uncultured Cryptomycota sequence contains ITS1". The record is from RNAcentral. Lineage: Eukaryota; Fungi; Rozellomycota.